AUUAUUAUAGUCUAAAAAAGAAUAUGGGUUUGUGGAGCCCAAGGUGUCAUAAUUUGACUAAUAAUC
RNAcentral lists this transfer RNA (66 nucleotides) under Eurycercus lamellatus. RNAcentral describes it as "tRNA-His". Lineage: Eukaryota; Metazoa; Arthropoda; Branchiopoda; Diplostraca; Eurycercidae. The record is from RNAcentral.